UACUAGCCCUUUAUGCACCUGGCCGGAUCUUCGACGCUGGUGAGGAAGGAGUUUUACCAUGACCAAGUCUCCUUCCUCGAACUCCAAGUGACUCCUCUUAACAUCGGCCCAUUUCUUCAUUUUCUGCGCUGCCUUUGCUAAGUAGGCUUUUUCCAAGUCUGCCUUUUCGUGCCAGCCUUUGGCAAACUUGUAUGCUGACGGAUUGGGCCCUUUGUAACCUAUGGCCAAAGUUUGUGGUGUCAUCGGUUGUUGUCCCGUUGCUAACUCAAAUGGACUUGCCCCUGUUGACUCGCUCUUCUGCAGAUUAUAAGAAAAUUGGGCAAUGUCCAAU
This 331-nucleotide long non-coding RNA is filed under the name Nicotiana benthamiana. RNAcentral's name for it is "long non-coding RNA (NBEN_LNC034369)". Lineage: Eukaryota; Viridiplantae; Streptophyta; Magnoliopsida; Solanales; Solanaceae. The record is from RNAcentral.